GGUUUUGAGGGCGAUCUGACUGUGACAUCUGUCACCCUGUUGAUCACGAGGGUUGUGUUGGUUGGCUAGCUAGGCAGAUGUCCCUCUCCCAUUGACCCACAUAUAUCCCCACUGAAGCUGUGAGCUUGGUGGAAGAGAAUGGCCACUUCAGAUAGAAGGAGUGCACCAUUAUUUGGACAAUGGUAUAUGAUGGCUGAGCCCUAUUUCCAGAACCUUCAAACAAGCUCAAGGAAGUAGGGUGAGAUUCUAAAGCUGUGUAAGGAGUAAUGUGUAAACUU
Molecule: small nuclear RNA, 278 nt
Filed under: Anolis carolinensis (green anole)
Lineage: Eukaryota; Metazoa; Chordata; Lepidosauria; Squamata; Anolidae
Description: 7SK RNA
Rfam family: 7SK RNA
About the family: 7SK was discovered as an abundant small nuclear RNA in the mid-70s but a possible function has only recently been suggested.
Source: Rfam by way of RNAcentral